RNAcentral lists this transfer RNA (73 nucleotides) under Streptomyces hygroscopicus subsp. jinggangensis TL01. RNAcentral describes it as "tRNA-Met". The stretch from base 1 to 58 matches the Rfam family "tRNA", at positions 16 to 71 of the family's 71-position model. From Rfam's summary of the family: Transfer RNA (tRNA) molecules are approximately 80 nucleotides in length. Their secondary structure includes four short double-helical elements and three loops (D, anti-codon, and T loops). The record is from RNAcentral. Lineage: Bacteria; Bacillati; Actinomycetota; Actinomycetes; Kitasatosporales; Streptomycetaceae.
UCGGCAGAGCGUCUCCAUGGUAAGGAGAAGGUCUACGGUUCGAUUCCGUAUUGGGGCUCUGGUGUGAGAGGUU